Cavia porcellus (domestic guinea pig) is the source of this 758-nucleotide long non-coding RNA. RefSeq lists it as uncharacterized. NCBI's taxonomy places the organism in Eukaryota, Metazoa, Chordata, Mammalia, Rodentia, Caviidae. The transcript is spliced from 7 exons. The record is from RefSeq and is a predicted model, not a curated record.
GUGGGGACCCGCAGGCGGCCGGUGCUACUGUGUUUGGAGCGCAAGUAGGGCGUGCCAGGAAAUAAUUUCCACUCAUUUUCUCUAGUGGUCACAUUAUAAUCUGAGUAAUAUGUCAUCGACCUACAUUGUAUUGGAAGAAGAAACCAGAAUGGUUGGGGCUGCUCAAAUAAUGAUUGGUAUAAUACACUGUUCUCUGGGAUACAUCUGGUUAUAUUUAUAUGUUCAACAAAUUUCUGUACUUUCAGAAGUCUACCAUCCUAUAACCAUCCUAUCAGGAUACCCAUUUGUCUCAUUCAUAUGUUUCAUCACAUCAGGAGCUUUAGCAGUAAGAACACAGAAGAAUCCCUCCCUUUCGCUGCUAGUGUACACCAUAAAGAUGAAUGUCAACAGUUUUAUCUUAGCAAUACUUGGUAUAUUCCUAACCUUAUUGGAAAUUAUAUUCUUUUUAGUGAGCAAUGAGAAUAUUGAAUGGCCGCAUAAAAGCGGAAUGAUGCUUUCAGCCUAUCUGUGGAUAUUCUCCAGCACAGAGAUGGUACUGGCCUGGAAAGUAACCCAAUGGGGGAAGCAAGCAUUUUACCAGAGCAAUCACGACAUAUAGCGUUCCCGGCACCAGAAGACCCUUCUUUCUUUAACAUGUUAAGGAAUAGAACCAUCCUGACCUCACUCCAGGAUAAGGCAGUUUAAAUUGGAUGAAAAAGAGAUCGUCAUUUUGUUCAAGAUGUUUUCCAGAAAGUAUCCAUUAGUGAAGUUUGUCCCGA